UUCCUGCCUAUGCUAUGGCUGGAUGAACACAGAUGUGAGGGGAUUUGAACCAUCUACAAUCAAUCCAUAUGUGACCAAUGGAGGAGAAGCAGCCCAAAAAGACGAAGGAACCCUCAAAAGAAGAUGAGACUCAGCAGAAGGAGAUGCCAACCCAUUUGUCCUUAGGAGCAGAGUCAAAGGCAGAGCAAGGCAAUGUACUUCUAUAGAAGGGUGCGCCCUUACAGACGGAGCAAUGGCUAAAACUCCAGUUCUGGUUGAGACACAGACAGUGGACAAUGCCAAUGGGAAAUCAGAAAAAUGUUUGCUGUGAUCACCUCUCAACCAAACUACUCACACUUGAAUCCUUAUUUCAGAAUCUGCUUCUAGUGCAACCCAAAGUACAAGUGUAAAGAAAAUAAUUAAUUAUGCUAAUGGCAUAGAAAUGAAGAUGUUUCAGCAUUGGAGAAAGAGAAAUAUAAAAUAACAAGUAAAAAUCUGUAAUCUUAAAUUUGAUUUGGAAAUUUUAAUAUAGACUCAUUUUUUUUCUUUUAAAAGAUAUUUUCUAACUCUGUUUCCUGAAAUGACCAACUUAAUAGCAACAAAAACUGACAGUAGACUGGGCGCGGUGGCUCACCCCUGUAAUCCCAGCACUUUAGGAGGCCAAGGUAGGCGGAUCACAAGGUCAGGAGUUUGAGACCAGUCUGGCCAACAUAGUGAAGCCCCAUCUCUACUAAAAACACAAAAAAUUAGCUGGGCGUGGUGGCGGGCACCUGUAAUCCCAGUUACUUGGGAGACUGAGGCAGGAGAAUUGCUUGAACCUGGGAGGCAGAGGUUGCAGUGAGCCAAGAUCACGCCAUUGCAUUCCAGCCUGGGUGACAGGGCAAGACUCUGUCAAAACAAAACAAAACAAAACAAAACAAACAAAACCCCAAAAACUCCUGACACCCAAGUUGUGGUUUGUAAACACCAUUUCCCACUAAAAGCAAUCAGAGGUCUUUGGAGAAGUGGCUGAUUUCAGGUCUAGUGAAGAAAAUGUACGCAAUGAACCUGAGUAUCUUAUACUAGAAAGAAAGGAAGAACGUUAUCAAAGACUACUCUGACUAUUUUAAAAGGAGACAGAAGCCAACUUGGAGGGGCUGCCAUGGGCCUAAAAUGGGAGAGUUUAAGAUUCAAAAGUAUAAUAUCAGUGGAAUAAAACAAAUCAACUAUGUUAAAAUCCAUAAUUUCAUAAUAAUAUUAAAAAGCAAAAAAAACUCACUAGUCAUUUUUAAAUUUUUUAUUAAUUUUUUUUUGUGAAGCACCUGCCUGCUAUUUAGUCAUUAGUCACUUCUGAAUGCCAGAUAAACAAUGGAAAACAAAGGGAAAGAAUCAAGGUUUUGAUCUUGUCUUUUCUGCACAAACUAUAUUUCAGGACAAUAAAAUUGUUGAUGAAUUGAUAAAUUGUUCUAUUUAGAGUAAUACCAACUAACAAAUGAAGAAAAAAGCGGAAGAAACAAAAUAUCAUUUGAAUCUGGACAGGGCCAGGUUUUAUGUGGCAUAUUUUAAAGGUGAUUGAUUGGUGAUGAGUUUACAAUUGUUGAAGCUAGCUGAUGGAUACCUGUGGGUUCAUUAUUCUCUUUACAUGUAUUUCUAAAAGGGGGAUAUUUUCCAUUUUUUUAAAAGCCCUUUAUCCUCAGGUUGCAGUAUGUGUAAAAGAAAAAAACCCUUUAAAAAGAAUAUCGUGGCUGCAGCUUCAAUUAAUGAAAUAAUAGCUUGAUGAUAUUAACCCUCCCAUAGAUAGCAAUAUAAAAUCUGGAUAAAAUAUUUUGAUAAAAAAGAACUAUUUGAAGGUACUGGAGAGUGGCCCAAAGGAGGCAGAAACUGGAGGAAAGUUGAGGUCUGAAACAUACAAACUGCACGGGUUAAGAAUAUUUGUAUCUUUUUUUUCUUCAGGACACUCCAAAUCCUCAUGGUGAAGGGUGGCAAAAAGCCAGUCUUUUUGCUUUAGGGUUCAGAAGACAGAAGUCAGCUAUGGCAGAGUGGCUGACAAAUGAGGGAAAGGGAGUAGAAAGUGAAAUCCAUGAAAGAAGGGAGCUUCAGACAGGACAAGCCCAGAAUCUGCGUGUAGGCUCUUCCCAACCACUUGGCUGACCAUUGAACAAUAAACAUGGGGGAGAGACUCCAGAGGACCCAGAAGAGAGACAAGCUGGUAGCUCAAAGAACUUGGCAGAGAUUUCAACUGUUGGCCACUGCAUGUGAGGCAAAAUUUGGAGUUAGAUUCCAAAAAAUUUAAAACCUGGUAGAAAAUAUAUCAACAUUCCUUAGAGAAAUAUAGCUGAAUCAAGGGUCUUAAUAAAAUGUUAUUUAUAAUGUUCACCACACAAAUAAAAGACUAUCAGAUGUAUGAAAACCCAGGAAAGUAUGACCCAUGGUGAAGAAAAAAAGUAGCCAAAAGAAGCAAAUCCCAAGAUAACAAAUAUUUAGAAUAAGCAGAUAAGGUCUUUAAAGCAGCCAUUAUAAGUGUGCUAGGGGACUUCAGAUGGGGAGUCACACUGGUAGAAUUAAAAUGAUAAAAAACAAAUAAUUGCAGAAUUAAGAAGCACAAUAACCAAAAUAAAAUAAAAUUCUCACUGGAUAGGUUUAUCAACAGACGGAAGACAAUAGAAAAAUGAGUCAGUGAGCCUAAAGAUAGAUCAAUACAAAUUAUCCAACUUGAAUAACAUGUAGAGAAUUACCUAAAAAAUUAGUGAACAAAGGCUUAGUGCUUUUUGGAACAAUAUUAAGUGAUCUAACAUAUAUGUAAUUAAACUCCAAGAAGAAAGGUAGAGAAAAAGCAAAGUAGAAAAAAUUUUGAAGAAAUAAUGGCUAGAAAUCCCUCAAAUUCAGUAAAAAAAACAAAGGAAAACAAACAACCAACUAACAACAAAAAACUCCAGUUAGAUUACAGUUGCAAGAAGUUCCAUGAAAUACAAAUUUAUCUGUCAAUUAAAAAGAAUGGGCCAGUUAUGGUGGCUCAUGCCUGUAAUCCUAACACUUUGGGAGGCUGAGAUGAGAGGAUCACUUGAGCCAGGAGUUUGAGACCAGCCUGGGUGAGACCCCAUCUCUACAAAAAAAUUUUUACAAAUUAGCUGGGCAUGAUGGCAAGCACCUGUGGUCCCAGUUCCUUGGGAGGCUGAGGUGGGAGGGUUGCUUGAGCCCAGGAGGUUGACGAUGCAGUGAGCUGUGAUCAUGCCGUUGCUCUCUAGCCUGGGUGACAGAGCAAGAUCCUGCCUCAAUUAAAAAAAAAAAGAAAGAAAGAAAGAAAAGAAAAGAAAAAAAGAAAAAGAAUGUCCACAAACCCCAAAUAAGAGAAAUACAAAGAAAUCUACAUUCAGGCACAUAAUAUUAAAACUGCCAAAAAUCAGAGAAAAAGAGAAAAUCUUAAAAACAGCUAGAAAAAGAACAUAUACAUAUAGGGACACCACAAUACAAAGUUGGCUGACUUUUAAUGAGAAACAAUGGAACCAGAAGACAAUUGAACAGCAACUCUAAAAUGCUGGGGGCUGGGAGGAGCCCUUAUGACCCAGAAUUCCAUAUCCAGUUUAACUGUCUUUCAAAAAUGAAAGCAAAAUAAAGACAUUUCCGGACAAAGACAGAGAUAAUUCAUCGCUAGUUGAUCUGUCUUACAAGAAAUCUAAAGCAAGUCCUUCAGCCUGAAAGAAAAUGACACCAGAAGAUGAUUCAAAUCUGCAGAAAGAAAUGAAGUACAUUGUAAAUAGUAAAUAUUUCAGUAACUAUAAAAUACUGAUAAAUAUGUAUUUUUCUUUUCUCCUUUUCAUUUCUUGAGAUGACAUAAGACUGUAUAAAGCAAUAAUUAAAACACUGUAUUUUGGGGUUUAUAACAUAUAUAAGGGUAAUAUAUAUGACAAUAAUAGCACAAAAAUGGGGAGAGAAAAUGAAACUAUAUUGGAGCAAAUUCACUAUAUUUAACCAGGAUUAAAUUAAUGUGGACCUGAACUAACUAACUAAUUGGAAUAAGUUAAAAUGAACAUUGCAACACCUUGAGCAAUCACUAAGAAAACAACUUAAAAAUAGUUUAAAAAUUAACAGGAAUUUAAAUGGCAUGCUAAUAUUAUUUAACACAAAAAAGAUGGUUAAAGAAGAAAGAAACAAAAUGGGCAUAAGACUUAUAUGAAACAAAUAAUACAAUGACAGGUGUAAGUACAAUCACAUCAAUAAUUACAUUUAAUAUUAAUGGUCUAAAAAGAUGCUGUCAGACUAAAUCAAAAGGUAAGAUCCAACUAUAUUCUCUUUGCCUUUAAAAACCUGAUUGAAACAAAGCCCAAAUGGAGCUCAUAUCCAAGGUUACCUGCAUCUGAGUCUUCCAGGCAGCUGUCUUAACUUUGUCUCAAGUAAACUCUUUAAAUUAUAUUUUGUGCCUCAGCCUCUUCCUUUUAGGUCAACACUUUUUAUAGCUGAAGAGUAGUCUGUGAUAUGCAUGUACCACAGGUUGUCUAACCAUUCACCCAUUUGGGUUGGUCCACUUUUUUGGCUAUUCUAAAGAUACAGAAAAAAAAAACUUAGUUUAUCCUACAUCCAACUAUACUCAACAUAGUACUUCACCUCUGGUCACCAAGAAGUGUGCGGGGAUUUCUCCCCACGAAGCAAUUCUCUGGCAGAUUCUUCAAUGGACACCAGCUUGGUGUCCCCUACCUCAAUUCAGUUCUGACAAUAUCUACGUAGAGAUAGCGUCAGAUCCCAUAGCUUGGGGGCUCAGUCCCGCAAGACUGCCUCAUGCUUCAGAUGCUAAUCACAAGCACAAGUUGUUGCCCUAGAGGAUAGAAGGCAACAACAACAACAAAAAAUCAGAGACCAGGGUGGUUGAAAUGAAUGUUAUUGCUGUAGUCACUGAUGAAUGAUGACAAGGGCUGGGGCAAUGCUACCCAGAGUGUGGUCUGUAGACCAGACCCAGCGUAUGAGCUGUUUGUUACCAAUGAUAUAAGUACGGAGAUUGAGGAUAAGCAUGGAGAAACUAUUAUAACAAAUUGAAAUACCAAUAUUAUGUGUUCUAAUAAAUAAAAAUAAGGCUUUUGUUCUCUAUGACUUUUCCAUAUAUUUUUCUCAUAAUUCAUUUUUAAUGUUUUACAUAUGAACUGGUCUGCGAUGAAUUGGACAUUUUUAAGAAGUGGUCCUUCCCCAUGGACAGCUUGGGAGACAAUGGUCUAAGGUCUUCUUUUAUGUUCUUCUGAGCUGUGGGCAAAGUGGCACGUGCAAUGUCAAGGAUAAGGAGUACGCCUUGUUUUUGCUCUUUCUUCCUUGUUGCUGGCUGGAUUGUGAAUGUAAUUACUGAGUUUGAAGCAACCAUUUUUGAAUCAAUAAUGACCUUGGAAAUGGAGGCAAUACAUAGCAGAGUAACACAUUUAGAGGGGCCAGGAUUCCUCACCCUGUGGAGCGCCAUAUCAGGUCUGGAUCACCUAUACUGGACUUACAUGGGAAAGAGAAAAAAUCUUCUCAUUUAUUGAAACCACUGUUUCUUUGGUUGUGCUGUCACUCACAGCCACCUUCAUCCUGAUAUAUCUAGGCUCCGCCCCAGUGGUUCUUAGGGUGGGCGGCCCCAGAGCAGCAGCCACAGCAUCACCUGGAAUCUUGUUAGAAACACGUAUCCUGCGAUCCUGAUACACUGAAUCAGAAGUGCUAGGUAAGGCCCAGUAAUCUGGGCUGUGACCUAUAGGUCAAAGCCGUGACCAAUCCACGUUUGAUUUACCCUCUGGCCAUUCUGAUUCUAGGUGUGAGUUGAUUUAUCCACAGCAGAUUCCCUUUCAUUGUAGUUUUCUGCAUUACAGGAAUGUUCUGGUCUUCUGCAUGUAUUAACUGAGAGACAAUUCCACAUUUACUGUCAAGAACUCCCUAGGCACACCUUCUGUCAAGUUUCUGAUUCAAAAACCAGUGUUUGAAAACCACUUCCUGAAACGUUGCUCACAUAAUAUUAAACCCUCUUUGUUUAUUAAUCCAAUGAAAUGUCUUACUUUUUAGAUAUCUGACCUGGCAAACUGACUGGAGU
Molecule: RNA transcript, 5998 nt
Organism: Gorilla gorilla gorilla (western lowland gorilla)
Lineage: Eukaryota; Metazoa; Chordata; Mammalia; Primates; Hominidae
Gene name: IQ domain-containing protein F1
Exons: 6
Source: RefSeq, a predicted model, not a curated record